Orussus abietinus is the source of this 1223-nucleotide long non-coding RNA. RefSeq lists it as uncharacterized. The record is from RefSeq and is a predicted model, not a curated record. The transcript is spliced from 2 exons. NCBI's taxonomy places the organism in Eukaryota, Metazoa, Arthropoda, Insecta, Hymenoptera, Orussidae.
GCCGCACGAUGCUACCAAAAACUCCCGAUUUAUUGGCUUCGAGUCGGCCGAUUCGCGGAGUUUUUCGAAAUAUCAGGUUACACUUUGCGCUGGGAAACAUUUGGAAACGAUCUAAGAGGUUCGCUCGAGCCUUCUCGAAGGGGAGUCUCGGAGGAUACCGGCGACGUCGCCGAGGCGUCGCGACGUCUUCCCGUCGAUCCUUGGGUCGGUUCUCCCAUUCGCCUUCCUCGAGGGAGAAAAAAAGUCCCUGCCCCCUAUACGUCGAUACCCACGGGGAGAGGCGAAUCGGCGCGACCGAUUCCUGCGGAUGCCUGGGAGGGCCAUGGAGUCGGGACGAGCGGGAAAAGUAAUUUCGGGCACGCGUAGGUGCGCGCGCCCAGGAGAGGGUGAGACCGAGAAUUUAUCCCCGAGGUGGAAAGUCCUUGCGCUGAAUGAGCAAGGACGAGGACCUGGAAAAAUGAAACGCUGACUCGGAACCGAUCCGUCAGUCGACCCGAACGAUCCACCUUGAGACGGUUUACCAAUCUUUAAAAUGAAUUUUGUCAUCCGAAUACAGGGAAGCGCAUAUUUUGAUAUUUCUCGUUUUUCAGGUGCUAACGAAUUUUGUUUAACCGCUACAGUUUAUCGAGUUUUAAUGAGAGGCUGCAGCUAGUUCCUACUUUGGCGGAGAUUUUCGCUCGGUGAUAUUUCCCGGGUUAUAAUUUUAACCGAGCAACUCGUCGGACGCUCUCCUCGAGCGUUCCUGAAUCAGUUCCCAGCGAGGAGGACGUUUUGUCUCUAUUAAUCUCCAUAGAUCCGACGAAGACAGAGCGAACGCUGGGAACGCUGACGGUGGAUUCCGGAAUACGGGGACGACGUAGGCAAUACGUAUAUGGGAGUACUUCGACGCAGCACCGGCGAAAGCUCGAGGACUGCCGAGGACUUUGGAAGACCUUUUUCGGUCGCUGGGUUUCCGGCCGAGACGCGGAUGGACGUUUUCGCCAAAAAUACGGACCCCAUCAUUCGCCGCUUAUGUCCCGUACUCUUUCGCACCGAAGAUGACAACGGGUGUAGAGAAAGUUUAUACGAACGAUUCUGUUUAUAGAUGUCGCUUGUGAGUUCCAUUCUUUAUCAACGAGAUUUAUAAAAAAUCACGCUGCGCUGGUAAUGUUACCGCUACAUGCAAAGAGGUGGCUGAAACUCGUCCUCCAAGUCUCUGAAUAUGCGAAGUUUUUAUGAAUUAA